CCGCGCUCCGGGCCGCCGUGACGUCAGACUCGCCGCUGCUCCUCUCUCGCUCGGUGGCAGGUGCGGUGCAUCUGGUGCGGUCUCAUCUGGUCAGGUCAGGUCUCUACCAAACCAGUGCCCUACGGAUUCGAGAAGAGGAGAGGUACACUCAGCAGGUCCCUGAUGAACCCAGGGAACCCUCCACCGUAUCCGGGCCCUGGUCCGACGGCCCCGUACCCACCUUAUCCACCACAACCAAUGGGACCAGGGGGCUGCCACCCAGGACCUAUGGGGGGACCCUACCCACCUCCUCAGGGGUACCCCUAUCAAGGAUACCCACAGUAUGGCUGGCAAGGCGGACCUCAGGAGCCUCCUAAAACCACAGUGUAUGUGGUGGAAGACCAAAGAAGGGAUGACCUGGGCCCAUCCACCUGCCUCACAGCCUGCUGGACUGCACUCUGUUGCUGCUGUCUCUGGGACAUGCUCACCUGACCAGCCCGGCCUUCCUGUCCUGCCAGUUCUGCCACCACCUUCAGCAGGUGUGCCUGCCCCAUCUCUUCUGAUUGCUGAAAUAAAUGAAAAUGACUAGCUCUGCACAGACACUUCUACCUUCAACACAGUGGGAUUCUAGAUUAGCAGGGUUUGCACUGCUGUUUAAUUCAGUGACUAUCUUUUUAAUGUUUAAAAUCCAUUUCUUAUUGGCCUUUCACAAAUGUGCUAAAUGACUUUUAUUUUUUUGGCCAAAGGCUUAGUUAUAAAAUAUAUAUUUAUAAUUUUAAAAUUAUACAUUCAAGGUAGUGACAUGAUGUAAUACCACUGAAUGAUUUCUCUGCUAACACCCUGUAUGUUUCAAUAAAUUUGUCUAAACCUCAACUGCCUGAAUAAUUCCAGAGAGAACAGAAGCCCUGGAGCCACUGUCCACUAUGACGAGGAGGGGGUCUAUUUAUGCUUUCAUUCCACUGCAGGUGGGUGCUAUGAGGAAGGCAGGUUCCACGGGGCCCUCACCAGACUAGCAUUUUCUCUCUCAUCCCACUCAGAGCCAGGCUCACCAAGCUACCCAGAGCUAGGCCUUCUUUUCUGCUGCC
Enhydra lutris kenyoni (northern sea otter) is the source of this 1064-nucleotide long non-coding RNA. RefSeq lists it as uncharacterized. NCBI's taxonomy places the organism in Eukaryota, Metazoa, Chordata, Mammalia, Carnivora, Mustelidae. The record is from RefSeq and is a predicted model, not a curated record. The transcript is spliced from 3 exons.